UUGGUGGCGACCGGCGGACGGGUGCGUAACGCGUAUGUAACCUACCUAUAACAGGGGCAUAACACUGAGAAAUUGGUACUAAUUCCCCAUAAUAUUCGGAGAGGCAUCUCUCCGGGUUGAAAACUCCGGUGGUUAUAGAUGGACAUGCGUUGUAUUAGCUAGUUGGUGAGGUAACGGCUCACCAAGGCAACGAUACAUAGGGGGACUGAGAGGUUAACCCCCCACACUGGUACUGAGACACGGACCAGACUCCUACGGGAGGCAGCAUG
RNAcentral lists this ribosomal RNA (269 nucleotides) under uncultured bacterium. RNAcentral's name for it is "partial 16S ribosomal RNA". It matches the Rfam family "Bacterial small subunit ribosomal RNA", at positions 85 to 353 of the family's 1533-position model. The record is from RNAcentral.